Molecule: ribosomal RNA, 809 nt
Filed under: Salmonella enterica
Lineage: Bacteria; Pseudomonadati; Pseudomonadota; Gammaproteobacteria; Enterobacterales; Enterobacteriaceae
Description: partial 23S ribosomal RNA
Rfam family: Bacterial large subunit ribosomal RNA
Source: RNAcentral
GAAUGGCGUAAUGAUGGCCAGGCUGUCUCCACCCGAGACUCAGUGAAAUUGAACUCGCUGUGAAGAUGCAGUGUACCCGCGGCAAGACGGAAAGACCCCGUGAACCUUUACUAUAGCUUGACACUGAACAUUGAGCCUUGAUGUGUAGGAUAGGUGGGAGGCUUUGAAGUGUGGACGCCAGUCUGCAUGGAGCCGACCUUGAAAUACCACCCUUUAAUGUUUGAUGUUCUAACGUGGACCCGUUACCCGGGUUGCGGACAGUGUCUGGUGGGUAGUUUGACUGGGGCGGUCUCCUCCUAAAGAGUAACGGAGGAGCACGAAGGUUGGCUAAUCCUGGUCGGACAUCAGGAGGUUAGUGCAAUGGCAUAAGCCAGCUUGACUGCGAGCGUGACGGCGCGAGCAGGUGCGAAAGCAGGUCAUAGUGAUCCGGUGGUUCUGAAUGGAAGGGCCAUCGCUCAACGGAUAAAAGGUACUCCGGGGAUAACAGGCUGAUACCGCCCAAGAGUUCAUAUCGACGGCGGUGUUUGGCACCUCGAUGUCGGCUCAUCACAUCCUGGGGCUGAAGUAGGUCCCAAGGGUAUGGCUGUUCGCCAUUUAAAGUGGUACGCGAGCUGGGUUUAGAACGUCGUGAGACAGUUCGGUCCCUAUCUGCCGUGGGCGCUGGAGAACUGAGGGGGGCUGCUCCUAGUACGAGAGGACCGGAGUGGACGCAUCACUGGUGUUCGGGUUGUCAUGCCAAUGGCACUGCCCGGUAGCUAAAUGCGGAAGAGAUAAGUGCUGAAAGCAUCUAAGCACGAAACUUGCCCCGA